GACAGGUCCCAGGCAAGUCCAGAAUCCAGCAAGGGAAAUUCCAUUGGACUUUAAGGCUGAGAUGAGAAAGGUCUUGAAAAAUAGUCAAAGAAUGGCUUUUCCUGGCUAAGUACCUGGAUAGGCAAGAAAUGAAAUAUUUCAGGGUGCUUGUCUCAUGGUGGCUAUAUAGUUACCUUGUCUGACAGCACAUUCUCUAAGAAUUGAUCAUCAUAUUGGCAUUACAAAGGGGGAUACGGUACAGCAGACCCAGGAGUUAAAACGAUCCAAGUGUGUCUUGGGAGAAAAAAAUUAGAGAACCUGAGGAUGAAACUGUGGAAUUUCCUGAAUGAAUGAAUGAAUGAAUGUGAAUACAGGAAACCUUAACAGGAUUGUGAGGGAGUGUAAACUGUUUAAUUAUGAUGGUGGGAGGUUAGUUGUAAAAUGAUGACUCUCAACUCCUCUCAUUUUGAAGGCAUUUUAAACUAUUCUUAAUAAACACUAGGAGGCAGGGAAUAAAGAUAAUUCAGACCACUCUCCGUUUAGAGACAGUCUAUCUACAUCCUUAAAUGGAUGGCUUCUGUUAUCCUCUUUUCAGGGCUCUGACGAAAAGAAACUCGAGGGCAAUUCAGUUACCUGAAUGAAAUACGGCGCCAGGUGCCCGGUAGAUUCGCCUAGCACAGCGCAGGGACUGCAUGAGGACAUUAACUUCUGCUCCUGGCCUCUCUCCCGUCCUGCUAUAAUCUCCACAGCAAAUGACCUACAGUGGCGAGGGCUUCUGAGAUACUCGUGUGGGUAGCCAUAGUGUCUCAGAUCAAAUUACUACCACGUUUCUUCGUAAAGCUGAAGGCAAGAGGUAAAUUCAACUUCACUUUCGAGAAAGGCUGCCCACUGUAUCCGCCACUCGAGUGACAACACCAAGUACUCCCCUCAGCGGUGGCCCUCGUCUGAUAUCGGCAACCCGCCGCGAAAGGGGAGGUGAGCAACGGUAAGGUUUGGGAAAGAGGCUCCUCCGCUCCUCCGGCGGUCCACUUCCUACGGCGGGAAGGAGACAGGGUGUCUCUGCCCUCUCGCCGGAUCCGCCCAGGCGCUCCCCUUUCGUGUCCUCAGGACUGUGCGUACGCUCCGCGCCUUCGACUUGGCUGAGCGCCGAGUUGCCACCGCAGCUCCGAGUCAGCCGGCUUCCCGGCUCUGACCUGGCGUGCUUUGAGAAACGCGGGGAGGCUGUGGGCCCGGCAAUCUGUUCCUAGGCCGGGAGCCCAGUCGCGCGGCAGGACUGGGGGCGGGGCUGGGCGGGGCCAAGGGGGUGAGGCGUGAUGACGCCACGGGCGCCUUGCCCACGUGGUGUCUGCGCCGGCGGCGGUUGUGGUAGUUGGGCGGGUGGUAGAGAUCGCAACGGCUGCAGCAUUCCCGGGGAGCGUGAGACGGCCACGGUGGCUGCAGCUCCGAAGUCGUGAGGGACCUCACGCUUCCCUCCUGUCGCUGGCGCUGAGCCUUCUGCCUCUCCUGCCCGGCUCCUCGCCCCCGGCCCCGUCUGGACUGGGAAGAGAGGCCCCGGGGAGGGGCGGAGCUGUAGGUGAGGCGCCAGGAGCCCCUCCCCCUCUGCUGCCCGAGCUAACCCUUGUUAAGUCUCACACUUGUCCUUAGACCCACUUAAAAUCAGGCCUCCCAUCUCAGGAUAUCUCUAAGUACCUGGUCCGGGAGGUCACAAAUGAGCGGGGAGGGGAAUAGCCUUUGACCAAGAGGAGCUCACUUUUCCCAUAGACGUUAGCCCUCUGUUAAUAUUGCAACUGGUAAGUAUAAAGUAGGAAAAAAUAUAGUUGAAAACAUUUGCGGGCUGGGUUUGUGGCUCAGUGAUAGAGUGCUUUCCUUGCACGUAUGAGGCACUGGGUUCAAUUCUCAGCAUCGCAAAUAAAGAAAUGAUUAAAAUAAAGGUCCAUCAAUAACUAAAAAAAAAAAUUUAAAAAUUUGCUCUAUAAUUUGUUGACCUUUAAAAAUAAAAUUUGAAUUCUUACACUUCAGGGAAAAUGGGUGCGGGUUUGAAAAUGAUACCUGCCAUAAAUGCAGCUGAAGUAAACAUACAUUAGUUCACAAAUUAAUGCUUUCAACAGAAUGAGUAAAUUAGGAAAAGUUUUAACCAGUUUCAUUCUAUAUUAUGUAGCGUGAUCAUCCAAAAUUUUAUACUUUUCUUGUACAGAGGGUAUGUAUUUGGGUGUUUUUUUUUAAACGGAAACAUUUUAGUUUUUAAUUUUUUAAAAAAGCAAGGUAUGCAAUUAACUUAAUAGGUUGAAAUUUUUAGCAUUAUACCCUUGCAUUUAUUUAAUUUAUUUAUUUACUUUAAAGAGAGAGAGAAUUUUUUUUAAUAUUUAUUUUUUAGUUAUUGGCGGACACAACAUCUUUUGUUUGUAUGUAGUGCUGAGGAUCCAACCCGGGCCGCUCGCAGGCUAGGCGAGCUCGCUACCACUUGAGGCACAUCCCCAGCCCCCAGCCCCCCAAAAGGGAAACAUUUUAAAUCCAACUGAUACUUUCUGUCACCAGUGGACUAAGAUUUUUUUUCUCAGUAAAAAUUUCCUUAAAUUAUGUGCUUAACAGAAAUUGAAUUAUUUUGUUACAAGACUGCUUCCACUUGAAAUGCUGUCACAAGUAACUUGGAAGGGAGAUAUCUUGUAAUGCUAUUCUUAGAUGUAAUAAUGCAUGAACUUAGUUUAUAAACUCUUGGACUAUGUAUUUGACACGUUAAAAAAUGCACAGUAUUAGUGUUGACCAUCUCUUAAUAGUUAACCUAUAAAUACUGUUCUAUAAUUUUCUUUCCUCAGAAACAAUUGGUCUAAGUAGUGCCACUUGGGUCCCAAGUGCCAGGGAAAGAAGGACACCCAAAGCAGCGGGUGCCAAUUGAGAAUCAGCAUCAUUUUCAGGUUGAUUAGUGUACAACUAUGUCUUCUCAUGCCUGACGGCCACAGUGUCACUCUGCAGGGCACACAUGCUGAUAAAAACUCAUCUCAGAUUUAUCUUAGUCUUUUCCCCCACAUCCUUGUCAACACUUAUUAUUGUUUGUAUUCUUAAUAACUGCCAUUCUGACUGAAGUGAGAUGAAAUCAGAGUAGUUUUAAUUUGCAUUUCUUUAAUAGCUAGAGAUACUGAACAUUUUUUUAUGUAUUUGUUGACUGAUUGUAUAUCGCCUUCUGAAAAGUGUAUGUUCAGUUCCUUGGCCCAUUUAUUAAUUGGGUUAUUUGCUUUUUUUUUCAGUUCUUUAUAUACCCUAGAGAUUAUUGCUUUGUCUGAUGUGCAAGUGGUAAAAAUUUGCUCCCAAGCUGUAGGCUCUCUUUACCUCACUGAUUGUUUCUUUUGCUGAGAAGAAGCUUUUUAGUUUGAAUAUAUCCCAUUUAUUAUUAUUGAUUUUGAUUCUUGCGCUAUAGGUGUCUUACUAAGGAAGUAGGAGCCCAAUCUGAUAUGAUGGAGAUUGGGGCCUACUUUUUCUUCUUUUGGACGCAGGGUCUCAGGUUUAAUUCCUAGGUCCUUGGUCCACUUUGAGUUGAGUUUUGUGCAUCAUGAGAGAUAGGGGUUUAAUUUCAUUUUGUUGCAUAUGGAUUUCUAGUUUUCCCAGCACCAUUUAUUGAGGAGCCUAUCUUUUCUCCAGUGUAUGUUUUUGGCUCAUACAUAAGGUAACUGUAAUUAUGUGAGUUAAUCUCUGUGUCCCCUAUUCUGUGUCAUUGGUCUACCAGUCUAUUUUGGUGCCAAUACCAUGCUGUUUUUGUUACUAUUGCUCUGUAGUAUAGUUUAAGGUCUGGUAUAGUAAUGCCACCUGCUUUGCUCUUCUUGUUAAGGAUUGCUUUAGCUACUCUGGAUCUCUUAUUUUUCCAGAUGAAUUUCAUAUGACUGCCUUUUCUAUUUCUAUGAGGAAUAUCAUUGGGAUUUUGAUUGGAAUUGCAUUAAUUCUGAAUAGUGUUUUUCAUAGUAUGAUCAUUUUGACAGUAUUAAUUCUGCUUAUCCAAGAACAAGGGAGAUCUUUCCAUCUUCUAAGGUCUUCUUUAAUUUCUUUCUUUAGUGUUCUGUAGUUUUCAUUGUAGAGAUCUUUCACCUAUUUUGUUAGGUUGAUUCCCAACUCAUAUAUGGCUGGUGGGACUGCAAAAUGGUGCAGCCAAUAUGGAAAGCAAUAUAGAGAUUCCUUGGAAAACUUGGAAUGGAACCACCAUUUGACCCAGCUAUUCUAUUCCUUGAUCUAUACCCAAAGGAUUUAAAAACAGCAUACUACAGGGACACAGCCACAUAAAUGUUUUUUGCAGCACAGUUCACAGUAGCUAAACUGUGGGACCAACCUAGAUGCCCGUCAGUAGAUGAAUGAAUAAAGAAAAUGUAGUGUAUAUAUAUACCCAUAUUACAUAUAUAUAUAUGUAAUAUGUACAUUUUAUAUAUACACACACACACACACAUAUAUAUACACACACACACAAUGGAAUAUUACUCAGCAAUAAAAGAGACUAAAAUGACAUUUGUAGGUAAAUGGAUAGAGUUAGAGAAUAUGAUGCUAAGUGAAGUUAGCCAGUCCCAAAAACCAAAUGCCGAAUGUUUUCUCUGAUAACAUAAGAGGAGGCUGAUGCAUAGUGGGGUUGGGAGGGGAAGCAUGGGAAGAUUAGAUGAAUUCUAGAUAGGACAAAGGGAAGGGAGGGGGCAAGGGUUGUAUAAAAGAUGGUGGAAUGAGAUGGACAUUUGUGAAAACACAAAUGGUGUGAAUAUACUUUGUACACAACCAGAGAGAUGCAAACUUGUGCUCUGUAUGUGCAAUAUGAAUUGUAAUGCAUUCUGCUGUCGUAUACAACAAAUUAGAAUAAAAGGUAAAAUUAUAAAUAAAUAUUUUAUACAUUAAAAGAUUUGUCUUAGUCAAUAUAAGAUUACUUUUUAAAUCAGGAAAUUUAUGAUAAAAAUACUUGACUCUGAUCACCAACCUGGUUUGUCUUUUUCCGCCCUUUUUGUGGUACUGGAAAAUAAGCCUAGGGGGAUUUUACCAUUCCUCCAUCUCAGAUUUUUCAUUUUUUAAGACAGGGUCUUGCUAAGUUAAAGUUAGCAAGGCUGACCUUAAACUUGCAAUUUAUUGCCUCAGUUUCCCAAGUAGCUGUGAUUACAAGUAUGUGCCACCAUACCUGGCUGGGAUCUGAUGUUUUAAAUAUGUUUUCUUUUUGAAGUUUCUCUUUUAAAAUAAAAUCUUUUUCCUGAAAGAAAUACCUUUCGAAGUUGGUCAGGAAGAGAUCCAAUUGUGUUAGUGUGUCUUCAGCUUUAUCAUGGACUGUAUCUUUGUUUUGUUUUUGCAGUGAUGGAGAUUGAUCCCAGGGACUGGAGCAUGCUAGCAAGUGCUCUUCUAUGAGCUGCACCCCCAGCCCAUGCACUGCAUCUCUAUGUUUUGUUUUUCAGGGUCCCAUUUUGGGAGGUAUGUUUGUGUUUUGUUGGACCUUGAUUGAUGUUGCUGGACAUCAGAGGACUGGAAAGUGAGAUUAAUGAAGAUUAUUUUUGUCCAUGGACUCUCCCAGUUGCUUGGGAUCAUUCUGUAUUCUAGAAGCUAUUUUGUUUUAUUGGUUUUAUUUGAAGGAGCAUUUACUGGCAUGCUAAGCAAGGGCUCCACAACUGAGCUACACCCCCAGUCCUUUUUAUUUUUUUAUUUUGAGAUAGGAUCUCACCUGCCCAGGCUGUCCUCAAACUUGUGAUUCUCCUGCUUCAGCCUUUCAAGUCACUGGGAUUACAAGCAAGCACUCCUGCACCCUGCCUAACUCCUCCCUUUCUUCUCCUUGAAGAUUCAAACCAGGGCCUUGCACAUGCUCCAUGUAGAACUGCUGUAUUGCCAAAAGCCAGGGAAGGUUUCAUGAGAAAAAUACCAGAACUAAAGAAUGUCAACUUAUUUCUUUUCUACUUACGUGCUAAUUCUGAACUCUCAUGAUCAUUAUGAAGCAGUAUGAAAGUGAGGACAACUUUCUGCAUCCCACAUCCUUUUAAAAACUGAAGGACUGUACCCAUCCCCAGCCUGGGGAACACCAGGGAAGAUGGGAGUGGAGAUUAUCCUCUGCCCCUGCCUGUGUAGCACAGGCUCACUAAACCUAUGUGAGUGUAUUUCCUGCUUUCUAUAAAUUGUAAGAGCUUCUGUGGGACUAGGGGGGGAAGGAUUGUAGCUGCUUCUCCCUAAUUUUACCGUAUUGCGUAAAUGUAUUUUUUUCUGUUUCCGUCCUAUUUUUUAUACAGGCAGGUGGUGGAAUCCAGCUAGCCAAGAUCUAGACAGGGUCUCUGGCCUAGGCUGUGAACAAUAGUUCCUGCCCUCUAGGAAAUAUUCUAGAUAGAAAUGCCCUGGUGACCUGAUUCAUGCAUUCCUAACUCAAAGUCAUCCUGAUUUCUCCUCUUGCCUGUGUUCUUGCCCCCAUGUCACAUCAAACGCAGCCCUGGGUUUGUAGUAGAAAACAGUAAAAUCAGAGACACAUUUGAGCCACAGCUGCCAUUAAUUUUCUCAGUCUUUGUGCUAAUUCCCUCAAUACUAUGAAACACUGCUGCCUUCUUGCUCUUUUCCCUAAAGGUGUGACACAUGGACAUUUGACUUUUCUAAUUUUGAGAGCUGUUAUAAAGAAAAGGUUUUAUAGGUAAGAAACUUCAUCCCUUCUGUUUCCUUUCUCUUUUUUUUUUUUAUAUAUUUAUUUAUUUAUUUUUCGGUGGACACAACAUCUUUGUUUGUAUGUGGUGCUGAGGAUCGAACCCGGGCCGCACGCAUGCCAGGCGAGCGCGCUACCACUUGAGCCACAUCCCCAGCCCCAUCCUUUCUCUUAAUUUAUGUCUUUUUACACGAAUUUCUGUUUUAUGAUAUGGUUAUAUUUAGCAAGAGGGCCAGAGGCUAUUGGCUCAGUAAUAGGAUCAGCUCUCAGCCCAUAAACAAAUCUUUACCCAGCAGAUCUCAUUUGAAGUCUCAGUAGUACGCUCUGUGUCAGAACUGAGACCUGGCAUUAUGACUAUCCUCCCAACUGUGAGAUCCAUGUAUUUAGGAGGUGUAUUUUUCAGAUUAGAAUGUCCUUUUCCUAAGGAAAAAAGCUACAUGGAUAGCCAUAAUUUUUGCAAAUAUUAUUUGAGCCUUUGCAACAUAUUGGAGCUUGUUCCAGUGCCCUCGUGUACCUUCAUGUGCCAUCAAUAGUUCUAAUGGCUAUUUCUGUCUAUUGCUUCCCACUUUAUUGAUUGUGGAAACCUUUUCAGAAAUUAUAACUUUUCUAAAGUCUACCACAUAAAAGGCACGAAAAUAAUUUGAAUUUUCUGACUCCAUAUUUAGUGCUUUUCCCAAAUUCUCACUGUUUUGUUUUUUUUUUUUUUUUAAUGCUGAAAAAUAGUCUCAACAGGCUCUCUGCACAUGGUUGUGUCAGUUGUAUAUAGCAAAAGGGCAGACUAGGGCAGGAGGCCACAUAUGGUAGGAUAUGUCCUGUACUCUGCUCACCCCAAUCUUUUUCUAAUUUCUAUAAAGGCACUGUAUAGUCUUCUCUGAGAACCAAGUAUGUCCCACCUCUGAAAAAUAAGGAAGGCAGGGGCUGGGGCUGGGGCUCAGUGGUAAAGCACUUGCCUAGGAUGGGUGAGGCACUGGGUUUGAUUCUCAGCACCACAUAAAAAUAAAGUUAUAAAAAAUUAUGUUUUUUAAAAAGUAAGGAAGAUAAUGUCCAGGGGCUUCUAAUUGUAGCUGAUGUCUUCCCCUUAGAUACUGUCUGAGAAGCUUUGUGGGUACAGGAUAGUUAUCACUGCUGGUAGUUUUUCAUUAGCUUUCUUGGUUAGUGAGUGUUUGUGCUUGUAAUCAUCACCAAGUACUGAGUAUAUGUGUCACCAUUAUACAUUUUUUUUCUCUUCUAGUUUUUGUCUUUUCUAUUCUUUCUCCCCUGCUGAGGUCAAAAGCCAGUGGUGUAGAUGUGGAGCAAGAUGGGAAAUACCUGUUGGCAUUGCUUGGCCUCUCCACACUCAGAUAUCAUGAUCAGUAGGAUUGACCAGGCAUUUCUUGCUCAGCUGACCCAUGACUUUCCAGUGUAAACUCUUCUCUUGCUAUAAAUGACAAAAUGUCAUCUCAAUUCUUACCUUGCUAAUAACAGUCUGACUCCCUGAAAUUCAGUUGUUGUUUUGUAGUUAUCUUCUUUAUCAAGAGGCUCCAUGGAGAGCUGGAAAUUGUAAAUGUUCCUAAAGUAUCAAUAUAUCCCAUCUUCCCUUUUCUACAUAAGACUAUUUAGCCCCCACUUAGCUUGUGUGUUCCCUGGUUCACUCCACCCAAAGUGGACUCAUGAAUAGGGUUCUCCCCUAUUGAUAUUUAUUCCACAGGAUCUAACCAGACAGCAGUUUCAUUGUAGCUCAGGUGGGAGUUGUUCUCAGUGAUGUAGUAAGGCCUUGUCAUAGUUGCAGAGUAGCAGCUGCUCAGAUGAUUCCACCUCCUAAGGGGACCUUUUAUAAUGGUAUUGCUCACCACAGUGGGUGUUCUUUGAAAGACUAGAAGAAACCAUGUUCAAUUUAAACAAAACUUUUUUGACAUUUUAAGGUUACUGGUUUGCUGCCUCUUUCCCCAGGAAAAGGAAGUUGAAGUACAUCUUCCCUGUGAAGAAUCUGGAUGGAGUUGUGCAUUUCUUUCUUUCUUUUUUUUAAGUGCAUUUGUUUCUGAUGAUUUCCAGAAAGAGAGUUGUAUUAUGCACAUAAGCUGUUGACCAGCACCAAAGGAAAAGAAAGAAUUGUUACAAUAGCAUUUUCCCUGCUGUUGUAAUCUUCCAUUUCUUUCUUCUUUCAGAUUUAAAAUUCAUCUUUCAAGAAGACUUUGGUUUGGGCAGCCUGCCCCCCAACCCCCUGUAGGAGGUCUCCCUCUUGAAAUGAGAAAAGGCUCUGUGCCCAGGUCCCAUCUUGCCACAGCUUGACUGCCUGUUGCUGGCCUGAUGAAGGUUAUAAGAAACAUCAUACCUUCACAGUCUCUCCAGAUGUAUUCAUUGUCAUAAACGUUGCACUUCAAGCCAGUUAUUUGAUUUAUGUCAUUAUACUUUGAAUCUACCUGAUAGUAAUUGUCAGGGAUGAUGGUAUGCACCCAGUAGCAGCCUUUAAGCCACCUGUAUAUAUAUUUGAAUUUCACAGUUUGGUGGUAAUCCUUUCUUCUUUUGAUACUUGGAGUUUCAGGCUAUUAAAAUUACAAUAAACUCUUGAGGUACUUUAGAUGCUCUUCUGCUUCAGUUUACAUGUUUUAUUACACUAUCUUGUUUGUGUUUACCAACAGGAUUACAAGAAUAUGUAAUGUCUGGCAAAGCAAAUAGGAAGUAAAGUAAAAGUAUCUUGCUCAGCUUAGCCUAUCACUGCUUCUUCCCCAAGUCAAGCAUGCCCUUUAAACUUUAAUGGUUAACAAUUACCCGGAGACCUGUUUUCAGGAAAAUGUAUAAUCAAUUCAUUUGAUGGAAACAUUUUUGACUAAGAUGAUAUGUUUUUAUCCUAGUUUUCCUUGAAGCUGUUAAGUAUUUGGAGAUAUAAAUUUGAAUAAAUAGAAUAUUUAUGCAGCUCAAUAUGAGUUUUAUAAAAGAUGGUCUAUGAGAUCAGGUAUUAUGACACACUUAGUAUAAAUUUGGUUAUGUCUUCUUUUAGAGCAAUUAAGUGAUGGCAAGUUUUCCUAAAUAGCAUAAGAGCUGGUUGAGUUGAUAUUUGGAGUUUAUUGUAAUUUCUUGCCAAUUUUGUUUCACACUUAGUAACAUAGGGAAAAAGAGAUGUUAUACAGGUCAAUUGUAAUAUGUGGAUUCUUCUCCAGGAUCGAAAGAGUCAAAGAGGAACCACUUGGUUUACCAUGGGUCUGAAGUACUUUUGAACUUUUAAAACCAUUUAAUUAAAGUGGUUUCAAUUAUUUUCCAAGUCAUUUUUGUGUCUUAUUCUGUUAAGAAAAAGUAGUUAAUGUUUUUGAUAGUUUAUCAGAAUUUGUCAGAUUUUUCUGGUUUUAUAAAUAAUUAUGCUGAUUUACUAGGAGGAGGUUGGGGGAUUUUAGAACAGUUGCUUUCAAGUAGUGAUGGAUUUGAAGCAUUUUUUGAAAAUAUCUUUAAGUUUUUGUAGGUUGAUGAGAUAAUGUACACUUGACUGUUAUGUGAUCAAACUUUUAUUGCUCUUCUGUUUAUUUACUGGUGAGUUUAGAUGAGUUUUCAACUCUAAACGAGGAUAAUACUACUCUCUCAUAGGGAUGUUUGUGGUCCAAUAAUUAGGGUCCAGCCAAAUAGUAGUGGUUGUCAUGUUAAUAUUUCAGUUUAGGAACUUACUGGUCAUUCAGGGAAUCCCUGAAAAGAGUAGACAGAGGUGCAUGUGUUCACUCGGGUGUUUGUUGUGAGCUAGCCAUUGGGCUGAACCCUUUAACUGCGAACUCAUUCUCCCAUUAGUCCUGUGAGAUAGGCGCUUUUCUCUUCUUCUAGCUACACAUGAGAAGAUGAAAUCACACAGGGGUUGCCAUUGCUGUUAAGUGGGAAGUCAGGAUUGAAAGCCAGACAGUCCAAUCUGGAGCCUGUGUCCCUAACUCUCCCUAUAGACUGCCUUACACUUGGGCAUGCCCAGGAGUCUCUAGGUGGAGUUCAAGUUCAGUCCUGCUCAGGGUUGAUUUUAAAAGCUGAUUGACCAGUCCAGUCCUGAGGAAAUCUCCCUGUCCCUGAUUCCUUGGCUCCCUAGUGGAUACAAUCCCCAAAGUGUUCUUGUGUGGGUUUAGUCCCUCAUUCACCCCUUAUUUCGCUUACCAUGGACACCCUUUGAACACACCAGUUGGUGUUCAUGGUGGGCCAUAGAUCAUGGCCAAAUGGGCUGGUGGUUUUAAAAAUACUACAUUCAAUAUAGGAGAAAAGGUGGACGGGUUCACUUCCUCUUGAAGGAGUGGAUUUGGGGGCUAAGAUGGGCAGGCCUCAGAGACCCGGUUAGUGGUUUUAGGAACUCUUAGUAGCAUUUUGCUUACUUUCUAUCCUUGGAGAUAUAAUCCCAAGAUAAAAUCACUUUCUAUAGUCGAUUUAUAAAAGAUUACCUUGCAAAAUAACUUUAUGUUAAAACCUACUGAUAGUCUCUAAUCUGUGGCUUAUGGUUAGGGUCAGAUGUUGAACAACCUGUACCUGCUAUUUAGAAAAAAGAAAAAAUCCUGGAGGCUGGGGAGGGAGAGAAUGAGUGUGUCAUUGCUAUCAGAGUUCACUUUUGGCUCUCCAUACCCAGUUUGUGUGAGGCAUGUUAUUAGGAUCUGAGGAUCCUAAUGUGUUUCUUCCAAAGCCAAAUUAAGUAAUUUUUAUCAACCCACUGCUAAUGUGUGAACUCCUUAGGAGUCCUAAUUGCUUAUUACUGCUUCUGUAUCAUUGUAUGUAGUAGAUGUUAAAUGAAUGUUGGUUAGAUCAGUAAAUGGAGACAUUUUGUUAAAUUAAUGAAAGAGUAUUAGUUUAGCUACUCUCUUAUUUCCAAUUUCUUAUUGGACUUUCAAAACACACCCAUAACCACCAACUAUCAGAGACAGUUUUUCAUCACUUUUCUGGCAUGUGUGAGGCACUGGGUUCGAUUCUCAGCACCACAUAUAAACAAACAAACAAACAAAUAAAUAAAUAAAGUUCCAUCUACAACAAACAUUUUAAAAAGAGGGGGUGGUGGAAUUGAGCUGUUACAUUUUGAACAACAGUAUGAAAAAGUGAAGUGCUUGUGACAGCAAAGGAAACAAUGAGCUCUGAUAAUUCCUAGUCUUCAUCACAACUGCCAUGGUCAUACGUUGCUGGAAUCUGUUUCUUCUAUCAGGCUUAGAGUCUGGGUGCCAGGUGAUUGCUGUGAAUGCAUUGAGCGAUUUUGGAUUUGGAAGUAUAGAGAGGUUGUUAAAAGAAGUGUUAGAAGGGUUUUUUUGUUUUUUUAAUUACUGUAGGUAGCACAAAUUCAAAACUGUACUGUCUUCCAAAAAUUCCUAAGGAGGAAAUCUUAUCUUCACACAGUUUGCUGUAAUUCUGCUGGAGUGAGCCGUAGUUGCUUAGUACAUUUGAAUACCUAAGAUUUCUUCAGUAACUUAUUGUCUAUAGUUUGCAGUUUAAUUUUGUUACCAGUCUCUGGACAAUAGUUUGUUUUUUUUUUCCAAGAAAGAUUAUUAUUUGUAAAUGUGUUCAGCCAUUGUGACAUGUGGCGCUUAUUAAACGUAAUAAGAGGAAGCCCUCAUGCACCAAGUGUGGAAGCUCUUUCCGGCUCUGCAGAGCCUGGUGAAUGGCACUUCCUUAUUUGUUUUGGGCUAUCUCUAUAGAGGGGCAUGGCCAGCUUCAUUUUGCUUAUGUGGUAGUUACUGAAAUAGCAGGAAAUGGUGUGAACCCUAAUGCACUGUUGAUCCCUCGAGGACCUGAGUCUGUGCAUUCCUGGUCCUAUGAAAUUGAGUGAAAUUGGUUGAAUUUUCUGAAAUUCCUGUUAGUGGAAAAACUACUACAGAAGUAUGUGGGACAAGAAAGAGAUUUUUAAGGGCACAGUAUGUAUAUUAAGUUGUGAGCUAAGUGAUUUACCAAAAUAUUGGUUCAUAAUGUUGGCAGUGUCUUCAGUGCUUCUUCUCAGUUUUUAAAAUUUUAUAUUGAGAUAAAGUAUCACAAUUUUAACCAUUUAAAAAUAGACAAUUUAGUGUAUUUUAGUAUAUUCACAAUGUUAUGCAACCAUAACUGCUGUGUAAUUCCUGAACAUGUUUAUGGUCCCCCAAAUAUACCCUGUACCUAUUAAGAACUCAUUCUCUUCCCUCCCCUGAAAAUUUGGCAACCACUAAUUUGUGUCUGGAUUUUCCUAUUCUGUAUAUUUUAUGCAAAUGAAUAACUUGAAAAAUAAAUAGUAUCUAACUCAUUCUUUGACUAAGUUCAGCUUAUUAAUGGCUCUGAUGUUCUCAUUAACCACCCCCAUGCUGUAAUUAAAUGGUUAUUAAGUAAACAUAAGAAUUUUACUUAAGUAGCAGGUAUUUUCUUUUUUCUGGACGAAGUCAUUUUUGAUAAUGAAAUCUCAGUCCUUGUCCCACACAACUAUCCAAUAAUGAGGACAAGGUUUUGAUAAAAAGGGAAAAGCUGGUGUGGUGGUGCACACCUGUAAUCUCAGUGACUCUGGAGGCUGAGGCAGGAGAAUUGCAAACUGGAGGACUGCCUUAGCAACUUAGUGAGAUCCUGUCUCAAAACAAAAAAUUAAAAGUUCUAGAGAUGUGACUCAGUGGUAGAGUAUCCCUGGGUUCAAUCCCUAGUACCCUCCCCACCCCCCCGCCCCCCCACCCCUACAGCUGUGCCCUUUUGGCAAUCAUUAUUCAUUUGUAGCCAUGAGAGAUAGCUGUUUCUUGGAUCUGCAAAUGUCAACCCUGAAGUCUGGAUUACUUUAUUCCUGUGGUCUGUGAGUCAAAGGACAGAUAACUUGUUUUAGGAUGUGAAGAAGGUUAAUCUUGCUUCUCCAUGGUUAGGGAAGGGGAAGGGGAAAGGGAAAAAAAAAACAUGUCAGUUUUAAAAUAAGCUGCAGUGGCAGAGCAGCAAGGGUUAUAUUCAAAGCUUGAGGUGGACACGAUGCACUUUAGCUCUGCAGCUAUGGUUUGCUCAGUUUAUCAUUGCGAACUCUUCUGGCUCAUCCUCUUCCCUCCUGUGUCUAUCUUUGGCCAAUCUGCUCUUCAGGUGAGAGGACCGAAAUUCAAGUCUAUGAAUUGUGCUUUUCUCCAGAAGCAGCACGCUGGGAAAAACACAUUGAAAUGGCAAGAAAGGGAGACUAGAAGAUAAACGUCUGCUCACCUUCCUAUUCAUGUGGCAACCUGAUGAAUUUGACUUAAGGGGGAUCAUUUCAGAUCAUCAGUCUUAUCAUCUUUGUAAGUACACAAUAUUUGGUUUGACUCC
This 13798-nucleotide long non-coding RNA is filed under the name Marmota monax (woodchuck). The stretch from base 1821 to 1881 matches the Rfam family "tRNA", at positions 6 to 65 of the family's 71-position model. Lineage: Eukaryota; Metazoa; Chordata; Mammalia; Rodentia; Sciuridae. The record is from RNAcentral.